UACGUAGGGGGCAAGCGUUGUCCGGAUUUAUUGGGCGUAAAGAGCGUGUAGGCGGCCAGGUAGGUCGGCUGUGAAAACUCGAGGCUCAACCUCGAGCUGUCGGCCGAAACCAUCUGGUUAGAGUCCGGAAGAGGAGAAUGGAAUUCCCGGUGUAGCGGUGAAAUGCGCAGAUAUCGGGAAGAACACCCGUGGCGAAGGCGGUUCUCUGGGACGGUACUGACGCUGAGACGCGAAAGCGUGGGGAGCGAACAGG
Molecule: ribosomal RNA, 253 nt
Filed under: uncultured bacterium
Lineage: Bacteria
Description: partial 16S ribosomal RNA
Rfam family: Bacterial small subunit ribosomal RNA
Source: RNAcentral